This 368-nucleotide ribosomal RNA is filed under the name uncultured cyanobacterium. RNAcentral's name for it is "bacterial SSU rRNA". It matches the Rfam family "Bacterial small subunit ribosomal RNA", at positions 406 to 788 of the family's 1533-position model. The record is from RNAcentral. Lineage: Bacteria; Bacillati; Cyanobacteriota.
GGAAGAAGGUCUGUGGAUUGUAAACCUCUUUUGAUAGGGAAGAAGACAGUGACGGUACCUAUCGAAUCAGCCUCGGCUAACUCCGUGCCAGCAGCCGCGGUAAUACGGAGGAGGCAAGCGUUAUCCGGAAUUAUUGGGCGUAAAGAGUCCGUAGGUGGGUAACCAAGUCAGCUGUUAAAUAGUGAAGCUUAACUUCAUAGAGGCGGCUGAAACUGGUGGUCUAGAGUGUGGUAGGGGUAGAGGGAAUUUCCAGUGUAGCGGUGAAAUGCGUAGAUAUUGGAAAGAACACCGGUGGCGAAAGCGCUCUACUGGGCCUGCACUGACACUGAGGGACGAAAGCUAGGGGAGCGAAAGGGAUUAGAUACCCC